This 429-nucleotide ribosomal RNA is filed under the name Gemmatimonadota bacterium. Its description in RNAcentral is "Gemmatimonadetes bacterium partial 16S ribosomal RNA". It matches the Rfam family "Bacterial small subunit ribosomal RNA", at positions 355 to 776 of the family's 1533-position model. The record is from RNAcentral. Lineage: Bacteria; Pseudomonadati; Gemmatimonadota.
UAGGGAAUCUUCGGCAAUGGACGAAAGUCUGACCGAGCAACGCCGCGUGAGUGAAGAAGGUUUUCGGAUCGUAAAACUCUGUUGUUAGAGAAGAACAAGGACGUUAGUAACUGAACGUCCCCUGACGGUAUCUAACCAGAAAGCCACGGCUAACUACGUGCCAGCAGCCGCGGUAAUACGUAGGUGGCAAGCGUUGUCCGGAUUUAUUGGGCGUAAAGCGAGCGCAGGCGGUUUCUUAAGUCUGAUGUGAAAGCCCCCGGCUCAACCGGGGAGGGUCAUUGGAAACUGGGAGACUUGAGUGCAGAAGAGGAGGGUGGAAUUCCAUGUGUAGCGGUGAAAUGCGUAGAUAUAUGGAGGAACGCCAGUGGCGAAGGCGGCUCUCUGGUCUGUAACUGACGCUGAGGCUCGAAAGCGUGGGGAGCAAACAGG